This 253-nucleotide ribosomal RNA is filed under the name uncultured bacterium. RNAcentral describes it as "partial 16S ribosomal RNA". It matches the Rfam family "Bacterial small subunit ribosomal RNA", at positions 524 to 776 of the family's 1533-position model. The record is from RNAcentral.
UACAGAGGUGGCAAGCGUUGUUCGGAAUUACUGGGCGUAAAGGGCGCGUAGGCGGCCAUCUAAGUCAGACGUGAAAUCCCCCGGCUUAACCUGGGAACUGCGUCUGAUACUGGAAGGCUUGAGUAUGGGAGAGGGAUGUAGAAUUCCAGGUGUAGCGGUGAAAUGCGUAGAUAUCUGGAGGAAUACCGGUGGCGAAGGCGGCAUCCUGGACCAUUACUGACGCUGAGGAGCGAAAGCCAGGGGAGCAAACGGG